GAGUUUGAUUAUGGCUCAGGACAAACGCUGGCGGCGUGCAUAACACAUGCAAGUCGAACGAAAUCUACAUGAUUUAGUGGCGAACGGGUGAGUAACACGUGAGAAACCUGCCUUACACAGAGGGAUAGCCGUUGGAAACGACGAUUAAUACCUCAUGACACCGUGACAUCGCAUGAUGAUGCGGUCAAAGAUUUAUCGGUGUAAGAUGGUCUCGCGCCUGAUUAGCUGGUUGGUGGGGUAACGGCCUACCAAGGCGACGAUCAGUAGCCGAUCUGAGAGGGUGGACGGCCACAUUGGGACUGAGACACGGCCCAAACUCCUACGGGAGGCAGCAGUGGGGAAUUUUGCACAAUGGGGGAAACCCUGAUGCAGCGACGCCGCGUGAACGAAGAAGGCCUUCGGGUUGUAAAGUUCUGUCCUUGGU
RNAcentral lists this ribosomal RNA (424 nucleotides) under Helcococcus sp. canine oral taxon 069. RNAcentral's name for it is "bacterial SSU rRNA". It matches the Rfam family "Bacterial small subunit ribosomal RNA", at positions 9 to 443 of the family's 1533-position model. Lineage: Bacteria; Bacillati; Bacillota; Tissierellia; Tissierellales; Peptoniphilaceae. The record is from RNAcentral.